RNAcentral lists this ribosomal RNA (517 nucleotides) under uncultured Propionibacterium sp. RNAcentral's name for it is "bacterial SSU rRNA". It matches the Rfam family "Bacterial small subunit ribosomal RNA", at positions 1 to 526 of the family's 1533-position model. The record is from RNAcentral. Lineage: Bacteria; Bacillati; Actinomycetota; Actinomycetes; Propionibacteriales; Propionibacteriaceae.
CCCUUCCCUUAGAGUUUGAUCCUGGCUCAGGACGAACGCUGGCGGCGUGCUUAACACAUGCAAGUCSAACGGAAAGGCCCUGCUUUUGUGGGAUGCUCGAGUGGCGAACGGGUGAGUAACACGUGAGUAACCUGCCCUUGACUUUGGGAUAACUUCAGGAAACUGGGGCUAAUACCGGAUAGGAGCUCCUGCUGCAUGGUGGGGGUUGGAAAGUUUCGGCGGUUGGGGAUGGACUCSCGGCUUAUCAGCUUGUUGGUGGGGUAGUGGCUUACCAAGGCUUUGACGGGUAGCCGGCCUGAGAGGGUGACCGGCCACAUUGGGACUGAGAUACGGCCCAGACUCCUACGGGAGGCAGCAGUGGGGAAUAUUGCACAAUGGGCGGAAGCCUGAUGCAGCAACGCCGCGUGCGGGAUGACGGCCUUCGGGUUGUAAACCGCUUUCGCCUGUGACGAAGCGUGAGUGACGGUAAUGGGUAAAGAAGCACCGGCUAACUACGUGCCAGCAGCCGCGGUAAUAC